RNAcentral lists this long non-coding RNA (446 nucleotides) under Setaria viridis. RNAcentral's name for it is "long non-coding RNA (SVIR_LNC005368)". Lineage: Eukaryota; Viridiplantae; Streptophyta; Magnoliopsida; Poales; Poaceae. The record is from RNAcentral.
GUCGGCCUCGCUGUUUACCGACCUCUUGCCUAGCUCUUCGGAUUGUUUCUUUGUAAGCUCAUCAAGUUUCUUCCAUAGUAGGUUGAAUUUCCUCUCCUAAUUCUGGGUACAUAGCCGCUUAAACAUUUUCAUAAGGGUCUUGUUCUUGAAUUGACUAUGGAAGUUUGCUCCCAUAUGCCUCGUGCACCAUCUACUCUUCAAGUCCAGCCAUAUCAGCACCCUGAAACGCUCCAUAAUGUCAUUCUGUAGGUCUUCAAUUGCUUGUAAAAUGCCUUUGUGCUGAUCAUGAAUUAGACAAACACCCUCCACAUCCUUCACAAUCAUCUGCUUCACCCUCUCCAGGAACCAAUACCAACUAUCUCCAGACUCCUCCACAAAGGCGAUCGCCAGCGGCAACACCUGAUUGUUACUGUCGCACCCAAUAGCUGUCAAGAUUGUGCCUUUAU